CCUGGUGGCUUAGAUGGUAAAGUGUUUGCCUACAAUGUGAGAGACCCAGGUUCAAUCCCUGGGUCAGGA
RNAcentral lists this transfer RNA (69 nucleotides) under Bos taurus (domestic cattle). It matches the Rfam family "tRNA". From Rfam's summary of the family: Transfer RNA (tRNA) molecules are approximately 80 nucleotides in length. Their secondary structure includes four short double-helical elements and three loops (D, anti-codon, and T loops). The record is from Rfam by way of RNAcentral. RNAcentral also lists the same sequence under 5 other names. Lineage: Eukaryota; Metazoa; Chordata; Mammalia; Artiodactyla; Bovidae.